GGUAUUAGCUUGCUAAUACUGUCAGCUAAGUGGCGCACGGGUGAGUAAUAUAUAGGUAACGUGCCUUCGAGAAGGGGAUAACAAUUGGAAACGAUUGCUAAUACCCUAUAUGCCUUUAAGUCCUAAGACCGCAAGGGAAAUAUUUAUAGCUCGAAGAUCGGCCUGUACAGUAUCAGUUAGUUGGUGAGGUAAUGGCUCACCAAGACAAUGACGCUUAACUGGUUUGAGAGGAUGAUCAGUCACACUGGAACUGAGACACGGUCCAGACUCCUACGGGAGGCAGCAGUGGGGAAUAUUGCACAAUGGAGGAAACUCUGAUGCAGCAACGCCGCGUGGAGGAUGACACAUUUCGGUGCGUAAACUCCUUUUAUAUAGGAAGAUAAUGACGGUACUAUAUGAAUAAGCACCGGCUAACUCCGUGCCAGCAGCCGCGGUAAUACGGAGGGUGCAAGCGUUACUCGGAAUCACUGGGCGUAAAGAGCGUGUAGGCGGAUAGUUAAGUUUGAAGUGAAAUCCUAUGGCUCAACCAUAGAACUGCUUUGAAAACUGAUUAUCUAGAAUAUGGGAGAGGUAGAUGGAAUUUCUGGUGUAGGGGUAAAAUCCGUAGAGAUCAGAAGGAAUACCGAUUGCGAAGGCGAUCUACUGGAACAUUAUUGACGCUGAGACGCGAAAGCGUGGGGAGCAAACAGGAUUAGAUACCCUGGUAGUCCACGCCCUAAACGAUGUACACUAGUUGUUGUGAGGCUAGACCUUGCAGUAAUGCAGUUAACACAUUAAGUGUACCGCCUGGGGAGUACGGUCGCAAGAUUAAAACUCAAAGGAAUAGACGGGGACCCGCACAAGCGGUGGAGCAUGGUGGUUUAAUUCGACGAUACGCGAAGAACCUUACCUGGACUUGACAUAGUAAGAACUUUCUAGAGAUUAGAUUGGUGUCUGCUUGCAGAAACUUAUAUACAGGUGCUGCACGGCUGUCGUCAGCUCGUGU
Molecule: ribosomal RNA, 985 nt
Filed under: uncultured marine bacterium
Lineage: Bacteria
Description: bacterial SSU rRNA
Rfam family: Bacterial small subunit ribosomal RNA
Source: RNAcentral